This 441-nucleotide ribosomal RNA is filed under the name uncultured bacterium. RNAcentral describes it as "partial 16S ribosomal RNA". It matches the Rfam family "Bacterial small subunit ribosomal RNA", at positions 338 to 795 of the family's 1533-position model. The record is from RNAcentral.
CCUACGGGUGGCAGCAGUGGGGGAUAUUGCACAAUGGGGGAAACCCUGAUGCAGCGACGCCGCGUGGGUGAAGAAGUAUUUCGGUAUGUAAAGCCCUAUCAGCAGGGAAGAAAGAAGACGGUACCUGACUAAGAAGCACCGGCUAACUACGUGCCAGCAGCCGCGGUAAUACGUAGGGGGCGAGCGUUAUCCGGAUUCACUGGGUGUAAAGGGAGCGUAGACGGCCGUGCAAGCCAGGAGUGAAAGCCCGGGGCCCAACCCCGGGACUGAUCUUGGAACUGGGCGGCUGGAGUGCGGGAGGGGCAGGCGGAAUUCCUGGUGUAGCGGUGAAAUGCGUAGAUAUCAGGAGGAACACCGGCGGCGAAGGCGGCCUGCUGGACCGCGACUGACGUUGAGGCUCGAAAGCGUGGGGAGCGAACAGGAUUAGAUACCCCAGUAGUC